Rhizobiales bacterium 68-8 is the source of this 39-nucleotide non-coding RNA. NCBI's taxonomy places the organism in Bacteria, Pseudomonadati, Pseudomonadota, Alphaproteobacteria, Hyphomicrobiales. The record is from Rfam.
CCGUUCAACUCGUCCCUUCCUCGAAAGGGACUACGGGAG